GAGUUUGAUUCUGGCUCAGGACGAACGCUGGCGGCGUGCCUAAUACAUGCAAGUCGAGCGGAGUUGAAUAAGUGCUUGCACUAAUUCAACUUAGCGGCGAACGGGUGAGUAACACGUAAAGAACCUGCCUCAUAGACUGGGACAACUACUGGAAACGGUAGCUAAUACCGGAUAACAUAUUUUUCUGCAUGGAAGAAUAUUGAAAGUCGGUCAUGCUGACACUAUGAGAUGGCUUUGCGGUGCAUUAGCUAGUUGGUAGGGUAAAGGCCUACCAAGGCGACGAUGCAUAGCCGACCUGAGAGGGUGAUCGGCCACACUGGGACUGAGACACGGCCCAGACUCCUACGGGAGGCAGCAGUAGGGAAUCUUCCGCAAUGGACGAAAGUCUGACGGAGCAACGCCGCGUGAGUGAAGAAGGAUUUCGGUUCGUAAAACUCUGUUGUUAGGGAAGAAUGAUUGUAUAGUAACUAUAUACAGUAGAGACGGU
RNAcentral lists this ribosomal RNA (487 nucleotides) under Gemelliphila palaticanis. RNAcentral's name for it is "bacterial SSU rRNA". It matches the Rfam family "Bacterial small subunit ribosomal RNA", at positions 9 to 476 of the family's 1533-position model. The record is from RNAcentral. Lineage: Bacteria; Bacillati; Bacillota; Bacilli; Caryophanales; Gemellaceae.